CCCUUAGAUGUCCUGGGCCGCACGCGCGUUACACUGAUGCAUUCAACGAGCUUAUAACCUUGGCCGAGAGGCCUGGGCAAUCUUGUUAACGUGCAUCGUGAUAGGGAUAGAUUAUUGAAAUUAUUAAUCUUGAACGAGGAAUUCCUGGUAAACGCAGAUCAUCAUUCUGCAUUGAUUACGUCCCUGCCCUUUGUACACACCGCCCGUCGCACCUACCGAUUGGAUGGUCCGGUGAAGCCUCGGGAUUGUGGUUCUUGCCGCUUUAUUGUGGCGUGACCGCGAGAACUUGUCUAAACCUUAUCAUCUAGAGGAAGGUGAAGUCGUAACA
This 328-nucleotide ribosomal RNA is filed under the name uncultured eukaryote. RNAcentral's name for it is "partial 18S ribosomal RNA". It matches the Rfam family "Eukaryotic small subunit ribosomal RNA", at positions 1470 to 1796 of the family's 1831-position model. The record is from RNAcentral.